UGUCGAUGCCUCACAAUCAGAUUGACCCGCGAAUUCGUUUUUCCAUCUACCAGCAGGCAAGCAGGGGUCGGGCCGGGCUUCUUCCGUCCGUCCUCCCCUUGCUUUGCCUGUUGCGUUGGGGCGGGGGGGUGGACACAAAGCAAGCAUCGUCUUGCCUGGCCUCCUCUCCUCCUUCCCAACAAACACAACCCCCGGCGCUUCGUGCGCCAAGGAACUCCAAUCUGUUAAGUGCGACUCCCAACGGCCCGGAGACGGUGCCCCGCGGGCGUUGUCACGACGCACAUUAUUAUACAAAAUGACUCUCGGCAACGGAUAUCUCGGCUCUUGCAUCGAUGAAGAACGUAGCGAAAUGCGAUACUUGGUGUGAAUUGCAGAAUCCCGUGAACCAUCGAGUCUUUGAACGCAAGUUGCGCCCGAAGCCAUUAGGUGGAGGGCACGCCUGCCUGGGUGUCACACAUCGUUACCCCCACGCAAACAAAUGUCUCACACGACAAACGUUCUGCGUAGUAGGGUGCACGCUGACCUCCCGCGAGCACCGUCUCGCGGUUGGUUGAAAAUCGAGUUCGUGGCCGAGUACGCCGUGAUAAAAUGGUGGAUGAGCAACGCUCGAGACCAAUCACGCGCCGCGACUCGGUCGGCUCCGGACUCCUCCACGACCCUAUAGUGCCUCUUCUUCGGGGAGACGCUCUCAACGAGACCUCAGGUCAGGCGGGGCUACCCGCUGAGUUUAA
This 731-nucleotide ribosomal RNA is filed under the name Pueraria candollei var. mirifica. Its description in RNAcentral is "eukaryotic LSU rRNA". The stretch from base 298 to 453 matches the Rfam family "5.8S ribosomal RNA". Lineage: Eukaryota; Viridiplantae; Streptophyta; Magnoliopsida; Fabales; Fabaceae. The record is from RNAcentral.